GGGUUGAUAACGGGUUGAUAACGGGUUGAUAACAGGUUAAUAACUGGUUAAUAACAGGUUGAUAACAUGUUAAUAACUGGUUAAUAACAGGUUGAUAACAGGUUAAUAACAGGUUGAUAACAGGUUGAUAACUGGUUAAUAACUGGCUGAUAACUGGUUGAUAACGGGUUGAUAACAGGUUGAUAACUGGUUAAUAACAGGUUGAUAACAGGUUGAUAAC
Xyrauchen texanus (razorback sucker) is the source of this 220-nucleotide long non-coding RNA. RefSeq lists it as uncharacterized. The transcript is spliced from 3 exons. The record is from RefSeq and is a predicted model, not a curated record. Lineage: Eukaryota; Metazoa; Chordata; Actinopteri; Cypriniformes; Catostomidae.